This 1676-nucleotide long non-coding RNA is filed under the name Sorghum bicolor (sorghum). Its description in RNAcentral is "long non-coding RNA (SBIC_LNC015899)". The record is from RNAcentral. Lineage: Eukaryota; Viridiplantae; Streptophyta; Magnoliopsida; Poales; Poaceae.
AGAGUUUUAUUAUUAAGAUUCAUUUUAGCAUAGCCACUUUAUUUAUUUAUUAAACACACUAAGCAAAAGAUAUAUAUAUAUAUAUGCAUAAAAUCUUUAUUUGGUUUCCCAUAGUUAUGUAUUUUAAUAUAGUAUAAGUAUAAAGAUAGAUAUAAAUACUUAGCGAGAUAAAUGGGGGUGCUCUCUCCCAAGCUGAAUUUUGACGUAAUUUCUGUUGAUGUAGCUAGCAGGUGGCAGAGGUGUAUUUGAAAGUCGGCAGUAUCCUGACAGCGAUUAAAAUGUCCUCCGUCUGCUAAUCUUCUUGAUUCUUAAAUUCUGUGGAGCUGAAAUAGACAACAAAGCUUUGUGGAACUGAUUAAGUGUUAGCAUAAAUAUCUAGCCUUCAUCAUGUUGAGCCUCCUCAAUAAAUGUAACUCUCUAUUUUUAUAUUUUUCUUUUAUAGAGUAGAAAAAAUAUUUAUUUUAUUUUUAUGCCACCACAGUGAAUGUACUUAUGGGUUUUAUGCCACUCGUAUACUCACAUGGGGCUUACUGUUUUUUUUAACAUUUUUAUUUUCUUUUUAGGAUAGUAUGAACAUGAUUAACUAAGCAAACUAUUUAAAAUAAUUGAAAGGGAAAGGAUAACUGCCAAGUUUACCUCUUGGCAAGGCGUUCGGUGUUUUUAAGUCCUAAGAACAGGACUCUCCAUUCUAGUUGUCGUGGGAUUCGUUGGGUGGCGUAGUCGGUGCUUCUGGCAGCGCCUCCUCUUCAUGUAUAGUUAUCUUCUCUUUCCACACCUGACUCGGUGCUACGGUCUCCUCUGGAUAAUUCUGUUUAAACAGUAUGUCUUCUAACCUUACCACUUCUUCUUCAUAGUCUGCCCAUCCAUCCUUGAUGAUCUGCCUCCUCUGGUUGCGGUUGCGUCUUUUUCUAACCUGCUUAGAGUCUUCAACGAUAUAGUUAGGGUCAGUAAAAUAGCGGCGUACCUUCUCUGAGGGGAAGUGUAUAUGGACUUCUCCGGUUCCAAUGUAGAUGAUUGCUUUAACGGUGCUGAGGAACGGUGAAAGGUCCUUGUUUGGUUUUGGUAAUUGAGUGACAACUUAGGUGGACUAAUAGUAUUUAUGUGAGAUACACAGGAGAUUAGUCCACAGGUGAUUAUGUGAUGAUGGAGGAGCUCAUUGUAUAUGAGACAUGACAUGGAGUCAUGUGACCAAGGUGGAGAAGAUCAAGAUGAGGCUUGGCUCGAUGGACCGGUUGCAAGAGUGAAGGGCAAGUCGGAGGCGUUGAAGCGAGGGACCGCGUGUGACGGUGAAGCUUGAGCAAGACCUGGCGCCGUUGGACCGAGGCAAUGGUGAAGAGCAAGUGAGGUCAAGAUCGAUGAACCAAGACAGUCACGUGAUGAUAUGAAGUGGAUCAUAUCAUUUGGUGAUUGGUUGGUGCAUGUGUUGCAUCAACAUUGGAGGAGAUGGAAUGGAAAGCGCAAGGCAAAGGUAUAACCUAGGGCAUUUCCAUUUCACCGGUCAUAGGUGUGUAAAGAAGUUUAUGACCGGAUUUAGGAUAGAUGGCUGUACUAUCAAGAGGGGCAAACUUGUUUGCAUAUCGGUCAUCUAGUGCCACUUGAGCGAUCUAACUUUGCAUACGUGUUAGGAUCGAGUGGCGUGGCAAGUUGAGAGGCUAACUCCUUUGGGAAAAUAUUUG